AUGCUUCAGCAGCACAUAUUCUAAAAUUGGAAUGAUACAGAAAGAUUAGCAUGGCCCCGGGGCAAGAGUGACAUGCAAAUUUGUGAAGCAUUCCAUAUUUUU
RNAcentral lists this small nuclear RNA (102 nucleotides) under Notamacropus eugenii (tammar wallaby). Lineage: Eukaryota; Metazoa; Chordata; Mammalia; Diprotodontia; Macropodidae. The record is from RNAcentral.